Rosa chinensis is the source of this 1215-nucleotide long non-coding RNA. RefSeq lists it as uncharacterized. The transcript is spliced from 2 exons. Lineage: Eukaryota; Viridiplantae; Streptophyta; Magnoliopsida; Rosales; Rosaceae. The record is from RefSeq and is a predicted model, not a curated record.
UUAAGUCAGGUGGUCAAAGUACAGCAAAUUGCUAAAUUAUAUUCUUCUGCAUCUCGUUUGUGCAGAGAAGCUGGAAAUGAUAUUUGGGUUUGUUUGGUUUGUAGAUGUUGAAGUCGGUGUUGUUCUGAUGCUUACUUGAGAUUGCUUUUGCUUGUGGUGGGGUUUUACUUAAAUGUUGCGUUACUUGGGGCUUUAGAUAAUAGCUGUUAGUUUGGACAGUAGUUGUGCUUUUGCUUGUGAUGGUGGUAUUGUAAUGUUUGUCUUAUGGGUCUUGGUUUGUGCCCUGAUCCUUACUAGGCUUAAGGAAUACUCUGUAGGUUCAAAUUAAUUCAAGAAGUGGGCGUAGUUUUACAUUUAUGCUUGUUGCUAGAUACAAGAACCAGUUUGCCAAAUUUCCUGGUUAAUGCUGGUUUAUAAGCUUGUUAUCAAUUUUAUUGAUUUCAUUUAAGCUGAUCCUUUGCAGAUGAAGUGUUCUGCAUAAGAAAGUAUUGGUAUGCAGCAUAUAACUUACCCUUUUGGGCUCUUAAGUUUUCUUUGCUAUCUGUAACUCUUUAUUUUCUGGGAAAGGCUCAAGGGUGCAUUUCAGGCAUAUGCUCCUUUGCAAAUGUUAUAUCUCCCUUUGCUUUCUCUCCUCUGAUAGGUGUUUUGAAUUUCCAUUUUACUCUCUUGCUUAGCCAAUUUUUCUCCCAUUUUAAACUAAGAAUGUCAACUCUUUCUUUUAGCUACACAAAGUCCUUGUUUCUGGAGGUAAGGAACAGAAAAUGUUGAGAUUUAUGAAUAAUUUUCAGAUGAAUGUGUUUUGAUUUUGUUGUAUUUUGGUUGGUUUUGCCUUUUUUUUGUUUUGUUCUUGAUUUUGUUUGGUCAUUUUUGAGCUCUUGGUUUGCUUGGUUUGUGCUCAUGCUUUGCUUUUGAAUACUUCGGUUUUGUUGUUCAUAAGCUUUUCCAUUUUUUUCUUUUCAUUGCACAGAGAGUAGCCAAGUGCAGACUUCAAAAAGAUUAGUGCUCAUGUUCACCAGUUCAAGGGUAGCAACUCCAGGUCCAUUGGCGAUGCACUAAGGACUGGAACCUUAAGUUACAAGUAUUUUAAUUUCUUUAGGAGACUUCAAUUGUUAUUGUAUAUGGAGAAGUUUAGGCCAUAUUUCCCCUUCUCCCUACUCCUUGGUACUCAUUUUAUCAAAAAUAAUAUUAAUGAGAAUUUUCUUUUGGUUACACUUU